GUAGGUGGCAAGCGUUGUCCGGAAUUAUUGGGCGUAAAGCGCGCGCAGGCGGUUUUUUAAGUCUGAUGUGAAAGCCCACGGCUCAACCGUGGAGGGUCAUUGGAAACUGGAGAACUUGAGUACAGAAGAGGAAAGCGGAAUUCCACGUGUAGCGGUGAAAUGCGUAGAGAUGUGGAGGAACACCAGUGGCGAAGGCGGCUUUCUGGUCUGUAACUGACGCUGAGGCGCGAAAGCGUGGGGAGCAAACAGGGAUUAGAUACCCUGGUAGUCCACGCCGUAAACGAUGAGUGCUAAGUGUUAGGGGGGUUUCCGCCCCCUUAGUGCUGCAGCUAACGCAUUAGCACUCCGCCUGGGGAGUACGGCCGCAAGGCUG
RNAcentral lists this ribosomal RNA (373 nucleotides) under uncultured organism. Its description in RNAcentral is "partial 16S ribosomal RNA". It matches the Rfam family "Bacterial small subunit ribosomal RNA", at positions 527 to 896 of the family's 1533-position model. The record is from RNAcentral.